Molecule: ribosomal RNA, 253 nt
Filed under: uncultured bacterium
Lineage: Bacteria
Description: partial 16S ribosomal RNA
Rfam family: Bacterial small subunit ribosomal RNA
Source: RNAcentral
UACGGAGGAUCCAAGCGUUAUCCGGAUUCAUUGGGUUUAAAGGGUCCGCAGGCGGACUGAUAAGUCAGGGGUGAAAUCCUACGGCUCAACCGUAGAACUGCCCUUGAUACUGUUAGUCUAGAGUACAGUUGAGGUGGGCGGAAUGUGUCAUGUAGCGGUGAAAUGCAUAGAUAUGACACAGAACACCGAUCGCGAAGGCAGCUCACCAAGCUGUAACUGACGCUCAGGGACGAAAGCGUGGGGAUCAAACAGG